This 701-nucleotide ribosomal RNA is filed under the name Salmonella enterica. RNAcentral describes it as "partial 23S ribosomal RNA". It matches the Rfam family "Bacterial large subunit ribosomal RNA", at positions 2230 to 2925 of the family's 2925-position model. Lineage: Bacteria; Pseudomonadati; Pseudomonadota; Gammaproteobacteria; Enterobacterales; Enterobacteriaceae. RNAcentral also lists the same sequence under 2 other names. The record is from RNAcentral.
GACCCGUGAUCCGGGUUGCGGACAGUGUCUGGUGGGUAGUUUGACUGGGGCGGUCUCCUCCUAAAGAGUAACGGAGGAGCACGAAGGUUGGCUAAUCCUGGUCGGACAUCAGGAGGUUAGUGCAAUGGCAUAAGCCAGCUUGACUGCGAGCGUGACGGCGCGAGCAGGUGCGAAAGCAGGUCAUAGUGAUCCGGUGGUUCUGAAUGGAAGGGCCAUCGCUCAACGGAUAAAAGGUACUCCGGGGAUAACAGGCUGAUACCGCCCAAGAGUUCAUAUCGACGGCGGUGUUUGGCACCUCGAUGUCGGCUCAUCACAUCCUGGGGCUGAAGUAGGUCCCAAGGGUAUGGCUGUUCGCCAUUUAAAGUGGUACGCGAGCUGGGUUUAGAACGUCGUGAGACAGUUCGGUCCCUAUCUGCCGUGGGCGCUGGAGAACUGAGGGGGGCUGCUCCUAGUACGAGAGGACCGGAGUGGACGCAUCACUGGUGUUCGGGUUGUCAUGCCAAUGGCACUGCCCGGUAGCUAAAUGCGGAAGAGAUAAGUGCUGAAAGCAUCUAAGCACGAAACUUGCCCCGAGAUGAGUUCUCCCUGAGACUUAGAGUCUCCUGAAGGAACGUUGAAGACGACGACGUUGAUAGGCCGGGUGUGUAAGCGCAGCGAUGCGUUGAGCUAACCGGUACUAAUGAACCGUGAGGCUUAACCUU